CUGCCGGAGGCUACUGCUAUUGGGAUUCGACUAAGCCAUGCGAGUCAAGGUGUCUUCGGACGCCGGCAUACGGCUCAGUAACACGUAGGUAACCUACCCUUUAGGACUGGGAUAACUCCGGGAAACUGGGGCUAAUACCAGAUAGAUAAAAGAUACUGGAAUGUUCUUUUAUCCAAAGCUUUUGUGCCUAAGGAUGGGCCUGCGUCCGAUUAGGUUGUUGGUGGGGUAAUGGCCCACCAAGCCUGCGAUCGGUACGGGCAGUGGGAGCUGUAGCCCGGAGUUGGGGACUGAGACAAGGCCCCAGGCCCUACGGGGCGCAGCAGGCGCGAAACCUCUGCAAUGCGGGAAACCGUGACAGGGGGAUCCCAAGUGCUCAUGCAUUGCAUGGGCUGUUCUUUGGUCUAAGUAACCAGAGGAGUAAGGGCUGGGCAAGACCGGUGCCAGCCGCCGCGGUAAUACCGGCAGCUCGAGUGGUAGCCGCGAUUAUUGGGCCUAAAGCGUUCGUAGCCGGAUAAGUAAGUCUUUGGUUAAAUCCUGCGACUUAACCGUGGGAAAUCUAGAGAUACUGCUUGUCUUGAGACCGGGAGAGGUUGGAGGUACUCCUAGGGUAGGGGUGAAAUCCUGUAAUCCUAGGGGGACCACCUGUGGCGAAGGCGUCCAACUGGAACGGGUCUGACGGUGAGGGACGAAACCUAGGGGAGCGAGCCGGAUUAGAUACCCGGGUAGUCCUAGGCGUAAAUGAUGCGAGUUAAGUGUGGGGGCAUCUACGAGAUGGCCCUGUGCUGUAGGGUAGCCGUUAAACUCGCCGCCUGGGGAGUACGGUCGCAAGGCUGAAACUUAAAGGAAUUGGCGGGGGAGCACCACAAGAGGUGGAGGCUGCGGUUCAAUUGGAUUCAACGCCGGG
RNAcentral lists this ribosomal RNA (904 nucleotides) under uncultured archaeon. Its description in RNAcentral is "bacterial SSU rRNA". It matches the Rfam family "Archaeal small subunit ribosomal RNA", at positions 14 to 922 of the family's 1478-position model. The record is from RNAcentral.